UUCGUGUGCUGCAAAUGGUGGGGUGGAGACACGAUCGUCCUUGAUUACUUUCCAGCUCGUCCAGUGGAAGAAAAAUUAAAUACAACGAUCUGUACACAAUGGAAACAGUGGAAAGAUAACUGAACGGUUUGAAAGUGAUAUUUAAGAAGCUGCAAUUGGCUCAAUAAACAGCAGAUGGCAGGAGGGAUCACUAUCUGAAGGCCAACCUGUUGCAGAGCAUCUAUAUGGGACUCAUCGUGACAUCCACAGAAAGGGGAAACAUAGGGUACCUUGGGAGACAUCAGUGAAAUUGCCCUGGGAGAAAAUAACAGCAGCAAUAUCUAUCCCCAGCCAGAGAAAUUAAGAGCAGACGCUGGCAUCCAUUACAGCUCCUGACGGAUAGCAGGCAGCAUGCUGAGGAUUCAUAGGGGAACACUGUCAAACACCCUGCCGCAUAUAUAGAAGAGCUUCCAGAAGACUUACACAUAAGAUACUCCAACAUAUGCAUAAAUUCAGCACACAGCUCUGCAGAGCCCUAUGAUCCUACAAUAUUGAUUAAAGGAGAGGAAGCUGGGUCGGUGGAUAGAUUAACAAGAGUGCGGCCAGAAACUGCAGGAGAAGCUGCAAGAAAAAAAAUUUGGAAGACUAAUUUAACCACCUUGCUGACACGUGUUUCAUUUGGUCAGCUAUCAACUGGCAUGGUGAGCAUAAUUGUCUGGCUUAAACUGCUACAAGCUUUACCAAGGGGAGCAAAAUAUUUAUAUACGCAUUUUACUGCACAUACCUCGCAUGCACAAUAUUUAAUUCACUUGGCUUGAUGCAUAGUUACUGCAUUUUAAAUAUUUCUGUGACUGUUAAUAGAUAUGUGAGUGAACCUAUUUCAGGGUUAAUCCAAAUGAUUGUUGUCCCUUUAUAUCUUCUUGGAAGGGAAUAUCAGCAGAUCCUAUAACUACUAACUACUGAGACAAUGAUGCCCUUAUACUCCUUGUUAUUCAUAGUCAGGCCAAUAAACAGCAAAUAAGCUGCUGUAAUACUCAAACUGCCCUGUUAAUGUCAACAGAAAAGCUGGGCAUGUGGAUUUACAUGAGCAUGUAUGUCUUUUUAGCCCCACUAACAAUACGGGCCAGUGGAUUUCUAUGACGACGAGUGUGGUUAAAAUAUUUUUACAACUCAAAAUUGCAUGUGCUGCAUAUAGUGGUUAUCCCUUGACCUUGCUCUGUAGCACCUUGAGGAGGUUAAAAGUGCUAUCUAGUGAAAUAUCUGGACAUUUAGUAAACUGAUUAAACUUACCUGUUGAUCAUUCACCUUGACCCACAGUCAAAAUUCUUCAGUUUAAGUUGGAUUCAGCUUAGCAUGCUAAAAUGAUAAAUACUGUCAGUCUAAAAGGGUUAUUCAGUAUUUUUGGCUGAAAAAUGUCCUUUGUUUGCCUCUUCUAUUUCUGUGUGUGUUGCUUCAGUGCUAAUGUGCGGAUGUCAGCGGUGCACCAAGGACAUUGGGGGUUCAAAGAGUCCUGUACUGAAGAGCACCACAAAGAGCUAAUGAGUAAUGCGCAGCACAACACCUUUAUCUUUCUUCUUUAAUGUGACUCUGGCUUAACAGCAGAAUAUUUGCAACCUCACCGUCUUUGCACAAUUAGGAUUUUAGCUUAAACAUCAACUAAUUGUAAGUACAGUUGCAUAGAGCAUACAGCUAAUACGGCUACCAUCUGUUAGUCUUAGCCUUUUACCAAUUCUGAAUAUGAUAAGGAAAAUCAACAGCUCAAUUACUCUUUCUUUAGGCACUUAAAGGCUAGAUUGACAAAGUAGUUGCGAACAGAUCCGCUCAGUAGAAUCCAUAUCAACUCCAAGUCCAAUUAAUAAAAGCAAGAGUAGUCUAAAUGAGCUGCAUGUUCAGUGAAUGAAUUAGUAGAAAAGCUAUUCAGUGGUGUAGAAUGUGGACAUCCAGCACGAUCACUCCAGUAAUUACUAGAGACAAAGUAUACGAGAGAAAGACCCAGUCAGGGUUUGUCUUUAGCAUCAGGGUGCUGUCUGAAGUAUCUGCAUUGCCUACCUACUGAGCAGGGGAGAAAAACAGGACCCACUGAGGAAGCAUAAUUCACUUCUCAGCAAUAUUAUAGAAAUAUCAUAGAUCAUCGCUUGUAUAAGCACUCAGCGUCCCACUGUUUGGUAAAUAUUGAUAAAGUUGCAUCAUUCAGAGGCAAAAGAAUGAAGCUCUUUGUCACACAGUGGAUGGAAUGAUUUUAUAUCCUGCCUUGUAGCAUGAUGGAUGAUGAAAUGAUGAAAUGCUGGCCUAAAAAACAAAAGUGAACAAACAAAACAGCAAACUCGGCUAGAAUACCCAAAGGACAGUCACUGGAGAAGGAAAAAGGAGAUUGAUAUUCUAUCAACACUGUUUGUUUGUUUUGCUGUAAAUCUACUGAGAAUAUGCCUGCACAUAUUAAUAGAAGGAAAGCUCUAUAUGACUGUCAGCAGUAUUGCUCCCCAGAAACUAUAUGUGGAGAUCAAAUAUUUGUACUGAUUUUGUCCAUGCUUUGGUAUUUGUAACAAUACUAUGUUUGGCGGAGUGCAUAAUUUAUUUCCCUGCUGUUAAACUCUAGAAAUUGAAAUUUGAUCAAUAUCUCAACAAAUAGGCUGUGGAGUUUCCUGUAAAAUAAUUUGAAGAACUAUUUUAUUGUUGCAUGGACAGCACUUUAAAUAUAUUUUUUACGUAUAUUUUCCCCGUUGCUUGUAUGAUUUUUGUGUUUUUGUCAUGAACUCACUCAGUGCUGCAGUUAUUAAUUAUAAGCAGCGGGUCAUUAUCUUGCAGCACUAUUACAGUGUAACUUUGACAAAAAAAACAAAAAACAAAAACAAAAACAGCCUUCAAGCAUAAUGGAUUCGACUCAAGAAAGCUUCAGCUGUUGUUCAUACUGUAUGAAAUAAAUGGAAAACAAAGAAUGCCUGGAGCGGUAGAAAAGAGCCCAAUCCAUUUUUAUAAGGCUAUACUAUUGUUUACAAAGCAAUAAGAUGUGUAAUGUUCAAGUAGAUGUUUAAGGUCAAAAACAGGAUCCAAACAAGGAGAACGAAAGACGGCCAGGCAAACAAGAAAUAACGACAAGAAAACUACACUUACUUUCCAGCCCAGCAUUCUGGCAAAGAGUGUAAUAGAUCCGUGGGUUGGACUCUGUGGGCAGUAUUUAUUUUUAAGGAUAUAUUAUUUUGUAUAUACAUAUAUACAUUUUGUCAUCUUUGUUCUUCUUUAAAGUAUUUUAAGAAGUUUGUAGUGCAGUAUAACCAGAUAAGGAAAGCGUGACUGAUCUUACAUAGGGUGAGUGAUGGAUAAUAGGUAUUUAUUUGUAAAUAACUGGACAUGAAUAACUUGAGCUUAUUAGAUAAUAUUAUAAUACAGUAUAUUUCUAACUAAGUAGGCCUUCAUUCUCUUUCUGUUGACAAGACUUUCUUUAAAGAUAUAACACAUCAACUUAUGUAAGGCGGAUGUGAAAUUUAAAAGUCAGAGAUCAGAUGUAACAUUAUAUUUAUUUCCUAAAUGAUGCCAAUAUAAACGAAGGUAGUACAAUUUCAAGCGUAGUUUUAGAGAUAAAAGCCAUUUUAUAAAAGUUUGACCUUAUUUGACCUUGAAGAAGAGGUCAAAGGUAAAAAAUAAUGUGAUAUUUAGAAUCACCAUGUAUCAUUCUCUAUAUGCCUAUAUGUUUUACAUAUAAGCAAUUGCAAUAAAAAAUGUAGUUUUUAAUAGCCAUAUAUAGGACCAGUCAAUGUAUUGGCCUUGAAGGAGAGGUCAGAGGUCAAACGUGAAUUGAUAUUUUAAACCUUUAUAGAGUACUUUCUACUUCUUGACAAUACACACCACAUUUGUUAGAAUCAUAGUUGCUAUGUUUUCAUUUUUUCUGGUCAAAUUACAACCAAUAAAUUAUUAAGUUGAUCUUGAAGACACUGAUGGAUAAUGGACUGUUAACACACAUCUACACGUCUGCAAAGUUUUAUCAGAAUUCAUUAAACACUUUUCGAACAAUCACGUUUAAAGACAGAAUGAAAUGCACGCAAACGCCACCAAAAACAAAAAAUAAAAAUCUGUAAUUUGUGUGCUGAGAUAUGGACUAGAUCAUGUCACUGGGGAUCAUCAGGAACCAACAAAGAGCUCCUGGUGCACAGGGAGGAAAAUACUGGAGGUGAAUCCGCUACUCUGAAAAGACAAGACAUAUAGGAUUUGUGGUAAGUGGGUGUGUAAUCCAGAAGGAUUACACUAUGAUAGGUCUGAAUUCAUCUUAGCUGCAUUGUUUACCAGCUAUGUAAGUACACUAUAAUGAUCUAAGAUCAGCUUUUUCGGGCUGGUCAUUUUCUGUGAAGAUGAAGAAUUUUUGCUGCUCAGUUUUGUGUGUAUGCCUUAUGUCAGGAUUCUUUUAAAUUUUUUUUUUUACUCAAGCUUCCUUCUAUAACUAGUCAAAAAGACCAACUGCCUUGAACUAUUUCAUUUUUCCAGCUAAGAAAUAGGGCUUCUCCAGCAGUUCAGUAUGCUGAACGACUCUACUCGCUACAUUAUUUACACCAGAAGUGUUCAUAUCUUUUUGGAUCUCAGAUCUUUUUAUG
Molecule: long non-coding RNA, 4562 nt
Organism: Oreochromis niloticus (Nile tilapia)
Lineage: Eukaryota; Metazoa; Chordata; Actinopteri; Cichliformes; Cichlidae
Exons: 5
Source: RefSeq, a predicted model, not a curated record